GCCGCCAUAGCACAGUCGGUUAGAGCGUGAAUUUAACAAGCCCAAAGUCACAGAUCCGAUCCCUGCUAGCGACA
This is a non-coding RNA of Parelaphostrongylus tenuis, 74 nucleotides long. The record is from the annotation of a GenBank genome assembly. NCBI's taxonomy places the organism in Eukaryota, Metazoa, Nematoda, Chromadorea, Rhabditida, Metastrongylidae.